GUGCUACUCCCUUCGUUCGGAAUUACUUGUCGCAGAAAUGGAUGUAUCUAGAUGUAUUUUAGUUCUAGAUACAUCCAUUUCUGAGACAAGUAAUUCCGAACGAAGGGAGUACAUA
Non-coding RNA from Triticum aestivum (bread wheat), 115 nucleotides. The record is from Rfam. NCBI's taxonomy places the organism in Eukaryota, Viridiplantae, Streptophyta, Magnoliopsida, Poales, Poaceae.